This 1281-nucleotide ribosomal RNA is filed under the name uncultured bacterium. RNAcentral describes it as "bacterial SSU rRNA". It matches the Rfam family "Bacterial small subunit ribosomal RNA", at positions 94 to 1399 of the family's 1533-position model. The record is from RNAcentral.
AGUGGCGGACGGGUGAGUAACGCGUGGGUAACCUGCCUUAUACAGGGGGAUAACAGUCAGAAAUGGCUGCUAAUACCGCAUAAGCGCACAGAGCUGCAUGGCUCAGUGUGAAAAACUCCGGUGGUAUAAGAUGGACCCGCGUUGGAUUAGCUAGUUGGUGGGGUAACGGCCCACCAAGGCGACGAUCCAUAGCCGGCCUGAGAGGGUGAACGGCCACAUUGGGACUGAGACACGGCCCAGACUCCUACGGGAGGCAGCAGUGGGGAAUAUUGCACAAUGGGGGAAACCCUGAUGCAGCGACGCCGCGUGAAGGAAGAAGUAUCUCGGUAUGUAAACUUCUAUCAGUAGGGAAGAUAGUGACGGUACCUGACUAAGAAGCCCCGGCUAACUACGUGCCAGCAGCCGCGGUAAUACGUAGGGAGCGAGCGUUGUCCGGAAUUACUGGGUGUAAAGGGAGCGUAGGCGGGAUCGCAAGUCAGAUGUGAAAACUAUGGGCUUAACCCAUAAACUGCAUUUGAAACUGUGGUUCUUGAGUGAAGUAGAGGUAAGCGGAAUUCCUAGUGUAGCGGUGAAAUGCGUAGAUAUUAGGAGGAACAUCAGUGGCGAAGGCGGCUUACUGGGCUUUAACUGACGCUGAGGCUCGAAAGCGUGGGGAGCAAACAGGAUUAGAUACCCUGGUAGUCCACGCCGUAAACGAUGAUUACUAGGUGUGGGGGGACUGACCCCUUCCGUGCCGCAGCAAACGCAAUAAGUAAUCCACCUGGGGAGUACGACCGCAAGGUUGAAACUCAAAGGAAUUGACGGGGGCCCGCACAAGCAGUGGAGUAUGUGGAUUAAUUCGAAGCAACGCGAAGAACCUUACCAGGUCUUGACAUCGUAUGCAUAGCUCAGAGAUGAGUGAAAUCUCUUCGGAGACAUAUAGACAGGUGGUGCAUGGUUGUCGUCAGCUCGUGUCGUGAGAUGUUGGGUUAAGUCCCGCAACGAGCGCAACCCUUACUGUUAGUUGCUACGCAAGAGCACUCUAGCAGGACUGCCGUUGACAAAACGGAGGAAGGUGGGGAUGACGUCAAAUCAUCAUGCCCCUUAUGACCUGGGCCUCACACGUACUACAAUGGCUGUCAACAGAGGGAUGCAAAGCCGCGAGGUGGAGCGAACCCCUAAAAGCAGUCUUAGUUCGGAUUGUAGGCUGCAACCCGCCUACAUGAAGUCGGAAUUGCUAGUAAUCGCAGAUCAGCAUGCUGCGGUGAAUACGUUCCCGGGCCUUGCACUCACCGCCCGUCA